This 253-nucleotide ribosomal RNA is filed under the name uncultured bacterium. RNAcentral describes it as "partial 16S ribosomal RNA". It matches the Rfam family "Bacterial small subunit ribosomal RNA", at positions 524 to 776 of the family's 1533-position model. The record is from RNAcentral.
UACGGAGGGUGCUAGCGUUGUUCGGAAUUACUGGGCGUAAAGGGCGCGUAGGCGGCCGUUUGCGUCGGAUGUGAAAGCCCAGGGCUCAACCUCGGAACGGCAUUCGAUACGGGACGGCUGGAGACCGGGAGAGGAGAGUGGAAUAGCCAGUGUAGAGGUGAAAUUCGUAGAUAUUGGCUGGAACACCGGUGGCGAAAGCGGCUCUCUGGCCCGGUUCUGACGCUGAGGCGCGAAAGCGUGGGGAGCAAACAGG